This 861-nucleotide ribosomal RNA is filed under the name Triticum aestivum (bread wheat). RNAcentral describes it as "partial small subunit ribosomal RNA". The record is from RNAcentral. Lineage: Eukaryota; Viridiplantae; Streptophyta; Magnoliopsida; Poales; Poaceae.
AUGGAAUCAGGUGAAAACAACAUGGGCUCGAAUGAUGGACCAAACAGCAAAGCUAGCUUGCCUGCGAGGCAACGCUUGCGGUGGACAGAUGAGUUGCAUGAACAAUUUGUGGAGGCUGUUACUCAACUGGGCGGUCCUGAUAGAGCAACUCCUAAAGGAGUUUUGAGAAUUAUGGGUACACCAGGAUUAACAAUAUACCAUGUGAAAAGUCACCUACAGAAAUACAGGCUAGCAAAGUACAUUCCCGACUCUUCAGCUGAUGGUAACAAGGCUGAUAACAAAGAUCCAGGGGAUUCACUAGCAGGACUUGAUGGAUCCUCUGGAAUGCAGAUAUCUGAAGCCCUGAAGCUGCAGAUGGAGGUCCAAAAGCGGUUGCAUGAACAGCUCGAAGUACAAAGGCAGCUGCAGCUGCGAAUCGAGGCACAGGGAAAGUACCUUAAGAAAAUCAUAGAAGAGCAGCAGCGUUUCGGUGGCGGUGGUAUAAAGUCUGAAACACCUGGUGCAGGAGCAACUGUCACAGUGUCGAGCGAUCAGUUCCCCGACUCUGAGAGGACAGACCCCUCGACUCCUGCACCGACAUCUGAAUCUGCAUCUCAAGGUGGGGCUUUCAAAAGAGACAGUGGAAGCCAGACUGAAGCAAUCAAGAGCCCAUGUCAUGAUGAACCGCUGCUAACAGCAGAUUCCAACUGUCAUCCCGGUUCUCCUACUCUCAGUCCAAAGCACGAGAGGGCAGCAAAGAGGCAGCGAGGCAGCGAUGCUGAAUUCCCGGAGGCCGAGUUAUCCCUUCCGCAGCAUAUCUUCGAGUCGAGCUCGGGGCCAGAGUUCCAGCAAUGUUCGGUGCCCUACUACUCGGGUCAUUAG